This 253-nucleotide ribosomal RNA is filed under the name uncultured bacterium. RNAcentral's name for it is "partial 16S ribosomal RNA". It matches the Rfam family "Bacterial small subunit ribosomal RNA", at positions 524 to 776 of the family's 1533-position model. The record is from RNAcentral.
UACAGAGGUCCCGAGCGUUGUUCGGAUUCAUUGGGCGUAAAGGGUGCGUAGGUGGCGCCGUAAGUGGGGUGUGAAAUCCCGGGGCUUAACCCCGGGACUGCAUUCCAUACUGCGGUGCUUGAGGACUGGAGAGGAGACUGGAAUUUACGGUGUAGCAGUGAAAUGCGUAGAGAUCGUAAGGAAGACCAGUGGCGAAGGCGGGUCUCUGGACAGUUCCUGACACUGAGGCACGAAGGCCAAGGGAGCAAACGGG